This 254-nucleotide ribosomal RNA is filed under the name uncultured bacterium. Its description in RNAcentral is "partial 16S ribosomal RNA". It matches the Rfam family "Bacterial small subunit ribosomal RNA", at positions 524 to 776 of the family's 1533-position model. The record is from RNAcentral.
UACGUAGGAGACAAGCGUUGUCCGGAAUUACUGGGUGUAAAGCGCGUGUAGGUGGUAGGCCAAGUCUGCUGUGAAAUCGCCCGGCUCAACUGGGCGCGGUCGGUGGAAACUGGUCAACUGGAGGACGGUAGAGGCGAGUGGAAUUCCCGGUGUAGUGGUGAAAUGCGUAGAUAUCGAGAGGAACACCUGCGGCGAAGGCGGGUUGCUGGGGCUGACACUGACGCUGAGGCGCGAAAGCUAGGGGAGCGAACGGG